GGGGAAUUUUCCGCAAUGGGCGAAAGCCUGACGGAGCAAUGCCGCGUGGAGGAGGAAGGCUCGUGGGUCGUAAACUCCUUUUCUCAGGGAAGAAUAGAUGACGGUACCUGAGGAAUAAGCAUCGGCUAACUCCGUGCCAGCAGCCGCGGUAACACGGGGGAUGCAGGCGUUAUCCGGAAUUAUUGGGCGUAAAGUGUCCUGAGGUGGCUGGCCCAGUCUGCUGUGAAAGUCUGGGGCUUAACCCUAGAAAUGCGGCAGAAACUAGCAAGCUAGAGUACGGUAGGGGCAGGGGGAAUUCCCGGUGUAGCGGUGAAAUGCAUAGAGAUCGGGAAGAACACCAAUGGCGAAAGCACCCUGCUGGGCCGAUACUGACACUGAAAGACGAGAGCUAGGGGAGCGAAUGGGAUUAGAUACCCCAGUAGUC
This 424-nucleotide ribosomal RNA is filed under the name uncultured cyanobacterium. RNAcentral's name for it is "bacterial SSU rRNA". It matches the Rfam family "Bacterial small subunit ribosomal RNA", at positions 356 to 795 of the family's 1533-position model. The record is from RNAcentral. Lineage: Bacteria; Bacillati; Cyanobacteriota.